AUUGAACGCUGGCGGCAUGCUUUACACAUGCAAGUCGAACGGCAGCGCGGGCUUCGGCCUGGCGGCGAGUGGCGAACGGGUGAGUAAUGCAUCGGAACGUGCCCAGUAGUGUGGGAUAGGCCGGCUAAAGCCGGAUUAAUACCGCAUACGACCUGAGGGUGAAAGCGGGGGACCGAAAGGCCUCGCGCUAUUGGAGCGGCCGAUGUCGGGUUAGCUAGUUGGUGGGGUAAAGGCUUACCAAGGCGACGAUCCGUAGCUGGUCUGAGAGGACGACCGGCCACACUGGAACUGGAACACGCCCCAGACUCCUACGGGAGGAAGCAGUGGGGAAUUUUGGAAAAGGGGGGCAACCCUGAUCCAGCCAUGCCGCGUGCGGGAAGAAGGCCUUCGGGUUGUAAACCGCUUUUGUUCGGGAAGAAAUCCUCUGGGCUAAUACGCCGGGGGGAUGACGGUACCGGAAGAAUAAGCACCGGCUAACUACGUG
Molecule: ribosomal RNA, 484 nt
Filed under: uncultured bacterium
Lineage: Bacteria
Description: partial 16S ribosomal RNA
Rfam family: Bacterial small subunit ribosomal RNA
Source: RNAcentral